AAUAAAUUGCGGGGGGACUCUUAGGAGUUGAGAAGGUAAAACCUGACCCUUAGAACCUGUCAGUUAACACUGGCGUAGGGAAGCAGUCCAUUGUCAAUG
Regulatory RNA element from Desulfosporosinus orientis DSM 765, 99 nucleotides. It matches the Rfam family "TPP riboswitch aptamer (THI element)". From Rfam's summary of the family: Vitamin B(1) in its active form thiamin pyrophosphate (TPP) is an essential coenzyme that is synthesised by coupling of pyrimidine and thiazole moieties in bacteria. The previously detected thiamin-regulatory element, thi box was extended, resulting in a new, highly conserved RNA secondary structure, the THI element, which is widely distributed in eubacteria and also occurs in some archaea. The record is from Rfam. Lineage: Bacteria; Bacillati; Bacillota; Clostridia; Eubacteriales; Desulfitobacteriaceae.